UAGCUGGUCUGAGAGGAUGACCAGCCACACUGGAACUGAGACACGGUCCAGACUCCUACGGGAGGCAGCAGUGGGGAAUAUUGGACAAUGGGGGCAACCCUGAUCCAGCAAUGCCGCGUGUGUGAAGAAGGCCUGAGGGUUGUAAAGCACUUUCAGUGGGGAGGAGGAUKGAUAGGUUAAGAGCUARUUAAUUGGACGUUACCCACAGAAGAAGCACCGGCUAACUCCGUGCCAGCAGCCGCGGUAAUACGGAGGGUGCGAGCGUUAAUCGGAAUUACUGGGCGUAAAGGGUGCGUAGGUGGUUUAUUAAGUUAUCUGUGAAAUCCCUGGGCUUAACCUGGGCAGGUCAGAUAAUACUGGUURACUCGAGUAUGG
Molecule: ribosomal RNA, 375 nt
Filed under: uncultured Legionella sp.
Lineage: Bacteria; Pseudomonadati; Pseudomonadota; Gammaproteobacteria; Legionellales; Legionellaceae
Description: bacterial SSU rRNA
Rfam family: Bacterial small subunit ribosomal RNA
Source: RNAcentral